Long non-coding RNA from Anneissia japonica, 808 nucleotides. RefSeq lists it as uncharacterized. NCBI's taxonomy places the organism in Eukaryota, Metazoa, Echinodermata, Crinoidea, Comatulida, Comatulidae. The transcript has 2 exons. The record is from RefSeq and is a predicted model, not a curated record.
AAUGAAGAAUAAUCGCCUUAAAUAAAUGGAAUCAAACAUUACAAUGUGCACCAGAUGGUACCGGAAUCAUUGACAAAUAUGUAUAAUCCAUUCAUUCAUUUGCUUCCUAAUUUAAAUUAAUCGCAAAGUAUGUUUAAGUCAAUCUUCGUUAUGGAUGCUUCAUACAUAUUCAAACAACUUCUCCCAUUGUUUUUAGUCACCAUCUAAUGGUUAUAAGCAACUUGGGAUUAUCUACGCUGGAUAGAACUCUUGAGAAUUAUGCCGCAAGAGGUAGGCCGCCAUUUGACAUAGCAUCAGAGAUGUUACAGCUAGGCUGCCAUAACACAUAUACAAGUUACUACCGUGGUAAUGAGAUGGCGAAGAUGUAGGGCAGUUUGGCUUUGGCUACAUACCACGUAAACACUGACACAGCGGCGACCAAGCCUGCAGCUAUGAGAAAAGCUAAGAAUGUGAAGAGAAUUUUUAUGAAAACUUAUCAAUUCUAAGAAGUUUGUGCAUGAACGCAGUUGAUCGACGCAUGAUUAACUAAAAUGCAUGCAGUAUGAUUGCACGCUCACGUGUUAUCGUGCACGUGUAUAUAUAAGUGAGUGUCUAAGGAUGUGUAACAUCAUCUAUCUAUCUGUAUGUAAAUUGAAGUUAAGAGCCUGCGAGCUAAAUCCAGAAUUAUGUAUGUUUGCUGUUUUUAUAGUGAGUUGUUUAUAAACACAAUGAUAUUAAUGACAUUGAGUAUAAUUAAAUAAUAACCAUAACACUUGAAAGGUGAAGAAUAAUUAAUGAGAAGAAUUAAAGUCAGUGAUGGAAAAAUUUA